This 95-nucleotide microRNA precursor is filed under the name Cricetulus griseus (Chinese hamster). RNAcentral describes it as "miRNA (ENSCGRG00001009054.1)". Lineage: Eukaryota; Metazoa; Chordata; Mammalia; Rodentia; Cricetidae. The record is from RNAcentral.
AGAGGCAGGUGGAUCUCCAUGAGUUCGAGGCCAGCCUGGUCUACAGAAUGAGUUCUAGGACAGCCAGGGCUACACAGAGAAAUCCUGUCUCAAAA